GAACGGGUGAGUAACACGUGAGCAACCUGCCCCUGACUCCGGGAUAAGCGGUGGAAACGCCGUCUAAUACCGGAUACGACACGCCACCUCAUGGUGGCGGGUGGAAAGUUUUAUCGGUCAGGGAUGGGCUCGCGGCCUAUCAGCUUGUUGGUGGGGUAACGGCCUACCAAGGCGAUUACGGGUAGCCGGCCUGAGAGGGCGACCGGCCACACUGGGACUGAGACACGGCCCAGACUCCUGCGGGAGGCAGCAGUGGGGAAUAUUGCGCAAUGGGCGAAAGCCUGACGCAGCGACGCCGCGUGGGGGAUGACGGCCUUCGGGUUGUAAACCUCUUUUACCACCAACGCAGGCUCCCGGUUCUCCGGGGGUUGACGGUAGGUGGGGAAUAAGGACCGGCUAACUACGUGCCAGCAGCCGCGGUAAUACGUAGGGUCCGAGCGUUGUCCGGAAUUAUUGGGCGUAAAGAGCUCGUAGGCGGCGUGUCGCGUCUGCUGUGAAAGACCGGGGGCUUAACUCCGGUUCUGCAGUGGAUACGGGCAUGCUAGAGGUAGGUAGGGGAGACUGGAAUUCCUGGUGUA
This 578-nucleotide ribosomal RNA is filed under the name Nocardiopsis sp. RNAcentral's name for it is "bacterial SSU rRNA". It matches the Rfam family "Bacterial small subunit ribosomal RNA", at positions 100 to 677 of the family's 1533-position model. Lineage: Bacteria; Bacillati; Actinomycetota; Actinomycetes; Streptosporangiales; Nocardiopsidaceae. The record is from RNAcentral.